UACGGCUCAGUAACACGUGGCUAAUCUGCCCUUAGGACGAGAACAACCCCGGGAAACUGGGGCUAACUCUUGAUAGGCGAAGAACUCUGGAAUGAGUCUUUACCUAAAAAGAUUCACGUUAUCCUCGUGAACCUGCCUAAGGAUGAGGCCGCGACCGAUCAGGUUGUUGGCGAGGUAAUGGCUCACCAAGCCUUUUACCGGUGCGGGCCGUGGGAGCGGGAGCCCGGAGAUGGGUACUGAGACAAGGACCCAGGCCCUACGGGGCGCAGCAGUCGCGAAACCUUUGCAAUAAGCGAAAGCUUGACAGGGCUAUCCCGAGUGCCAUCCGCUGAGGAAGGCUUUUACCCAGUCUAGAACGCUGGGGGAAUAAGGAGAGGGCAAGUCUGGUGUCAGCCGCCGCGGUAAUACCAGCUCUCCGAGUGGUGUGGAUGUUUAUUGGGCCUAAAGCAUCCGUAGCUGGCUAAGUUAGUCCCUUGUUAAAUCCACCGAAUUAAUCGUUGGAUCGCGGGGGAUACUGCUUGGCUAGGGGACGAGAGAGGCAGACGGUAUUUUCGGGGUAGGGGUGAAAUCCUAUAAUCCCGGGAAGACCACCAGUGGCGAAGGCUGUCUGCUAGAACGCGCCCGACGGUGAGGGAUGAAAGCUGGGGGAGCGAACCGGAUUAGAUACCCGGGUAGUCCCAGCUGUAAACGAUGCAGACUAGGUGUUUGGACGGCCACGUGCCGUUCUAGUGCCGCAGGGAAGCUGUUAAGUCUGCCGCCUGGGGAGUACGAUCGCAAGAUUGAAACUUAAAGGAAUUGGCGGGGGAGCACA
This 811-nucleotide ribosomal RNA is filed under the name uncultured archaeon. Its description in RNAcentral is "bacterial SSU rRNA". It matches the Rfam family "Archaeal small subunit ribosomal RNA", at positions 84 to 880 of the family's 1478-position model. The record is from RNAcentral.